This 200-nucleotide long non-coding RNA is filed under the name Elaeis guineensis (African oil palm). RNAcentral describes it as "long non-coding RNA (EGUI_LNC004886)". The record is from RNAcentral. Lineage: Eukaryota; Viridiplantae; Streptophyta; Magnoliopsida; Arecales; Arecaceae.
AGACGAUAGGGAGUUGGCUGCAACAGAUUGACGCAUCAAGUAGGGGAAGACUACAGUUAAUCAUGCCGAGAACCAGAGCUUAGCAUUCGACUAGAUCGGUGAGACAGUCUUCCUGUCGGAAAGAUGUUCCUCCUCUACCUCUGAUGGCAGAGCCUAGUUCCUCGCGUCUUGUGAUUACACGGAUGCACAGAUUGCUGCAC